RNAcentral lists this unclassified non-coding RNA (200 nucleotides) under soil metagenome. RNAcentral describes it as "partial contains internal transcribed spacer 2 and large subunit ribosomal RNA". The record is from RNAcentral.
GGCGACAUGGGGAGACCCCUGCGCCUCAAUUUCACCGGCUGGCCGUCGCCCGUCUUAGCGUUGCAACACCUAGAUCGCUACUGAUAAGGGCGUACAAGCGCUAUGCUGUAAGGAUCUCACAUUGGAGGAGACAUCGGAAUUUCAAUCGAAAUUCGAACAAGGUUGACCUCGGAUCGGGUAGGAAUACCCGCUGAACUUAA